RNAcentral lists this long non-coding RNA (474 nucleotides) under Salmo salar (Atlantic salmon). RNAcentral's name for it is "lncRNA (ENSSSAG00000114887.1)". Lineage: Eukaryota; Metazoa; Chordata; Actinopteri; Salmoniformes; Salmonidae. The record is from RNAcentral.
UUUAAAAUUCACAUUGAACUCUCCUGUAUUGCAGCACUGUGGGAAAGAAAAGUAUCUAAAGCCACGUUUCCACUGGCACCUAAAAUUAGGGCGAAAUUCGAGCUGGCUCGAAUGAAAUUCUCACAUUCGAGCUGGUUCGAGGGAAACCCGGGAUAGCGCAGCCCAGUUGCACAACUGGUGCCAGCUCGAUUAGAAUUCGGGCUGAUGACACCGUUACUAUGCAACCACCAGCUGAUCACUGCUGGAUGCUGACACCACAUUCAGCUAGCUCGUCUGGGCUUGUUGCUGUUAUAAUGAGCAGGCAAGCAGUCCUGAGCAAAAGUUACUGACAACCCUCCACCACCAAAUAAGGCCCGUCAUUGGAAGUCCUUACUCCCAGCAGGGCUACCUGCCAUCAAAGCAUCUGGCUCUGAGGACCAUUCCUCAGAGAUGAGGACAUUCCUCAAACUAUUUGAAUAAAUGUUCAUAUUUGCA